GCCAAGUCAGCAUGACUGGACCCUAGCAGCCUCUCUCUUCCUCCUUCGGCCCUACUUGUCUCUCUGACACUCUAAAAGAUUGUGUGGGCUUUCUCCAGGGAGCCUGUCCUGAAGAUGUGCAAACACAGCCAGUGCUGUCAUCCUGCCACUUUUCAUAGUGUUAUUAACCAGCAGAAAGCCAGAGAAGUAUUUUUGCCCUUCCAAACCAAAGUGAAACAAGGACCACAAGAAUUAUACAUGGCUCACUCUUCAGCCUGGGGCAUAUACAUAUAGAUGCUAAUAGUCUCCAAGGGAAGAUGUUCAUUUUGCGGAGAAGAAAAGUCUGGAGGAACUGCUACUUGUCUCACAGGCAGCACAAUCAAGAAAGCUUCAAAUGGAGCAGGGUGUCAAUUUGCCCUGUGGGUUAGCCAGUACCUACACUACUCCUCCUGUUCACCAGGUCCCAUGGUGCAAGCGAUGUCAUGCUUCUGGGCUAACCCUUCAUCCCCACUGUAUCAUGAUCAUAUGGAUAUGGGGACAAUGAAUACAUGGAAUCUUAGCAAAUGGCCUGUUCCUUUUUUGCACAAGUAGGGCACAAUGUUUUCCUUUGGAUCCUCAGAUCAUAAGAAUUGUAUUUCCAUAUGACUGUCAGAGGUCAAAAAGUACUUGGGGCUCUUCUGGGUAAGGAAGAAAAAAUGCUGUACCAUACCUUCAGUGAAUAUUACUUUUGGAAUUAUCUAGCUUUGCAAGCAACAAAGUACUUUUGCAUACCUGAUAGCUCUAAGGAACAUCAUUCCCUCUGUGCACCACACACUAUUAAAUAUAUGUAACCUGUGAGUGUUCUUUCUGAUAUAGCCAAGUCCCAGAGAUAUGCUAUGUUUGUGUUGCAUUAUCUUUACCACUCGCCAGGCUCAUUAAUUGAAUGUGAUUUUGGAGUGCUGUUUAUGCAAAAGAAAUUUACCUACUCUGGUUUUGGUACCAGGUGGUUAUCAAUAGGUAUUAGGUGCUUAGUCUUGCAUGUGGCUCUACUGCUAUACAUGGAGUCUUAUUCUUUCAAUGGCUAAGCAAUUAAGUAAUGCAGAUUAAUUAAUAAAAUUUUAACACCAAAAUCAGAUAGUCCUACAAAACAGAUAUGUCAGAUGCUUCAGUUCUUAGUAUUUCUAUCAGUAUUUCUGCUCACGACCCAUUCCACAAGUUGUCAUUUCUAAUGACACAGGCAGCUCUUUGCUUAAAGGUAUGUUGAACAACAU
Passer domesticus (house sparrow) is the source of this 1229-nucleotide long non-coding RNA. RefSeq lists it as uncharacterized. The transcript is spliced from 4 exons. The record is from RefSeq and is a predicted model, not a curated record. NCBI's taxonomy places the organism in Eukaryota, Metazoa, Chordata, Aves, Passeriformes, Passeridae.